GAAGACGACCACGUUGAUAGGCCGGGUGUGGAAGUGCGGCAACGCAUGAAGCUUACCGGUACUAAUCGUUCGAUCGGCUUGAUCGU
RNAcentral lists this ribosomal RNA (86 nucleotides) under Sinorhizobium kostiense. RNAcentral's name for it is "partial 23S ribosomal RNA". It matches the Rfam family "Bacterial large subunit ribosomal RNA", at positions 2840 to 2925 of the family's 2925-position model. Lineage: Bacteria; Pseudomonadati; Pseudomonadota; Alphaproteobacteria; Hyphomicrobiales; Rhizobiaceae. The record is from RNAcentral.